GAGGUUGUGGCUCAGAGGUAGAGCCCUUGCCUAACAAGCAUAAGGCACUGGGUUUGAUCCUCAGCACCACA
Molecule: transfer RNA, 71 nt
Filed under: Marmota monax (woodchuck)
Lineage: Eukaryota; Metazoa; Chordata; Mammalia; Rodentia; Sciuridae
Description: tRNA.Val
Rfam family: tRNA
About the family: Transfer RNA (tRNA) molecules are approximately 80 nucleotides in length. Their secondary structure includes four short double-helical elements and three loops (D, anti-codon, and T loops).
Source: RNAcentral